UGGUCGGGAAGCUCAGC
This 17-nucleotide transfer RNA is filed under the name Rubus longisepalus var. tozawae. RNAcentral's name for it is "partial tRNA-Phe". The record is from RNAcentral. Lineage: Eukaryota; Viridiplantae; Streptophyta; Magnoliopsida; Rosales; Rosaceae.